Molecule: ribosomal RNA, 524 nt
Filed under: uncultured bacterium
Lineage: Bacteria
Description: bacterial SSU rRNA
Rfam family: Bacterial small subunit ribosomal RNA
Source: RNAcentral
AGAGUUUGAUCCUGGCUCAGAUUGAACGCUGGCGGCAUGCCUUACACAUGCAAGUCGAACGGCAGCACGGGAGCAAUCCUGGUGGCGAGUGGCGAACGGGUGAGUAAUGUAUCGGAACGUACCUUUCAGUGGGGGAUAACGUAGCGAAAGUUACGCUAAUACCGCAUAUUCUGUGAGCAGGAAAGCAGGGGAUCGCAAGACCUUGCGCUGAUUGAGCGGCCGAUAUCAGAUUAGCUAGUUGGUGAGGUAAAGGCUCACCAAGGCGACGAUCUGUAGCGGGUCUGAGAGGAUGAUCCGCCACACUGGAACUGAGACACGGUCCAGACUCCUACGGGAGGCAGCAGUGGGGAAUUUUGGACAAUGGGGGCAACCCUGAUCCAGCCAUGCCGCGUGAGUGAAGAAGGCCUUCGGGCUGUAAAGCUCUUUCAGCCGGGAAGAAAACGCAUGGGUUAAUACCCUGUGUGGAAUGACGGUACCGGAAUAAGAAGCACCGGCUAACUACGUGCCAGCAGCCGCGGUAAUAC